UACGGAGGAUGCAAGCGUUAUCCGGAUUCAUUGGGUUUAAAGGGUGCGCAGGCGGAAUGAUAAGUCAGAGGUGAAAUCCUACGGCUCAACUGUAGAACUGCCUUUGAUACUGUCGUUCUUGAGUAUACUUGAAGUGGGCGGAAUGUGUCAUGUAGCGGUGAAAUGCUUAGAUAUGACACAGAACACCGAUCGCGAAGGCAGCUCACUAAAGUACAACUGACGCUCAUGCACGAAAGCGUGGGGAU
Molecule: ribosomal RNA, 245 nt
Filed under: uncultured bacterium
Lineage: Bacteria
Description: partial 16S ribosomal RNA
Rfam family: Bacterial small subunit ribosomal RNA
Source: RNAcentral